RNAcentral lists this ribosomal RNA (346 nucleotides) under uncultured Sphingobacteriales bacterium. RNAcentral describes it as "bacterial SSU rRNA". It matches the Rfam family "Bacterial small subunit ribosomal RNA", at positions 1036 to 1382 of the family's 1533-position model. Lineage: Bacteria; Pseudomonadati; Bacteroidota; Sphingobacteriia; Sphingobacteriales. The record is from RNAcentral.
AGGUGCUGCAUGGUUGUCGUCAGCUCGUGCCGUGAGGUGUCGGGUUAAGUCCCAUAACCGAGCGCAACCCCUACCUUUAGUUGCCAUCAGGUUAAGCUGGGACUCUAAAGGAACUGCCUACGCAAGUAGUGAGGAAGCGGGGAUGACGUCAAAUCAGCACGGCCCUUACGUCCAGGGCUACACACGUGCUACAAUGGCCGAUACAGAGGGCAGCUACCUGGUGACAGGAUGCAAAUCUCCAAAGUCGGUCUCAGUUCGGAUCGGAGUCUGCAACCCGACUCCGUGAAGUUGGAUUCGCUAGUAAUCGCGCAUCAGCCAUGGCGCGGUGAAUACGUUCCCGGGCCUU